This is a long non-coding RNA of Mauremys reevesii (Reeves's turtle), 860 nucleotides long. RefSeq lists it as uncharacterized. Lineage: Eukaryota; Metazoa; Chordata; Testudines; Geoemydidae. The transcript has 3 exons. The record is from RefSeq and is a predicted model, not a curated record.
GGCAGAUCAAUGUGGGUUUCAGAGUCUGCCUUCUCUACAAGCAGGGUUUUGAACUUAACUCUCUGGAGGGACCGUUAAUCUAAAUCACUUAUUUACUUGAAGAGGGACAGAGUUUGAAGGUUAUAGAGACCUUCAAGCCAGCAUGUAAUGAACAGGUUUAUUCAGCCUGAAUAGAAGUAGAUUGGCAUGGAUGCCAUCACGCUGCUCCUGCCGUUCUUGGUUCUUUGAUCUCUAGGAAGCCCAGAUUGACCCACACUCAGUUGUGCAGAUGAAAGGCUCCUGCUAGGGUGCAAUUCCCAAGAAUUUGGAGUUGAGGUCCUGUCUUCCCAAGGAACUAAAAAGUCGCUUCUCCACUCUUGUGAUGGAGACAUCAGGCAGGAAAUUUACCGAGUAUCUUGGCUGGGAAACUGACCCUUUUUAAUCUUGUGCACAGAGGAUGAUAAAACGUAUACCUUCAGCAAGUUAUAACACCAUCUCUCAAGUUGAAAAGGAUCUGCAAGUUGAAAAUCCCAGCCUUUCAAACCAUUUUCCAACUUGAGUUAGUCAAUUCUAACGGUGCAUUUCACCACUUUGUUGUGAUUCAAUGUCAGAAACUGUGGAAAAAAGAAGAGGAAAAAACUUUUCAUUAUUGGCAUUCUGGGGAAUUAAAGACUAGGGGAGAGAGAGCUACAGCAGCCGUCCGACAUAGAUUGUUUAUUUAAUUCCUCCAAUUUGUUCACCUUAAUGAAACACCAAAAGGUUUGAGCGAGCGGUAAUUAACAAGAGAGAGCCUGCUUAAUGAAACCAGUACAAGAUGAUAUUUGUUUCAAGGAUCGAUAAAAGACUGUGAGUGAAGAUCAUCCUGGCAUCAUUCAGGAAAA